Molecule: ribosomal RNA, 497 nt
Filed under: uncultured bacterium
Lineage: Bacteria
Description: partial 16S ribosomal RNA
Rfam family: Bacterial small subunit ribosomal RNA
Source: RNAcentral
GAUGAACGCUGGCGGCGUGCCUAAUACAUGCAAGUCGAGCGAACAGACGAGGAGCUUGCUCCUCUGACGUUAGCGGCGGACGGGUGAGUAACACGUGGAUAACCUACCUAUAAGACUGGGAUAACUUCGGGAAACCGGAGCUAAUACCGGAUAAUAUAUUGAACCGCAUGGUUCAAUAGUGAAAGACGGUUUUGCUGUCACUUAUAGAUGGAUCCGCGCCGCAUUAGCUAGUUGGUAAGGUAACGGCUUACCAAGGCGACGAUGCGUAGCCGACCUGAGAGAGUGAUCGGCCACACUAGAACUGAGACACGGUCCAGACUCCUACGGGAGGCAGCAGUAGGGAAUCUUCCGCAAUGGGCGAAAGCCUGACGGAGCAACGCCGCGUGAGUGAUGAAGGUCUUCGGAUCGUAAAACUCUGUUAUUAGGGAAGAACAAAUGUGUAAGUAACUAUGCACGUCUUGACGGUACCUAAUCAGAAAGCCACGGCUAACUACGUG